Non-coding RNA from Danio rerio (zebrafish), 593 nucleotides. Lineage: Eukaryota; Metazoa; Chordata; Actinopteri; Cypriniformes; Danionidae. The record is from Ensembl.
UUAUUCACCCUACAACAACAAAAACAUUUAUCAAGUGAUAGUGCCAGUCAGCUCCUCAGGUAGAAAUACAGAACAUGCCCAGUCCAGACAUAAUGUGUGCUGACAGAUGUGACUGUAUGUAAGAGACCCAUUUAGACGGGUGUCACAGAUCCAUAGCCUUCCUCCACGCUCCAGGUGAUCCCAUUCUUAUUGUAGAAAUCAGAACGAAUGUGAGCAACUCGAGCAAAGCUCCUGCUCGAAUCAUAAUGAAGUGGUGAAAAUCUGCCGUACACGGAUGAGCACAGAACGGGUGCUGGUCUGGAGGAUUCCUCACUGAAGAUGUCCAGGCCUCUGGCUUUAGCAUGCUUUCUGUCAUCCCGGUGGAGUUUGUUGUCAAAGCCCUCAAUGCUCUGGUGCAAGCAAUCAUACAGAGACCUCUCUGGGGCCUUUAUGCUACAGUUGAAAUAUCGCAUUUCCUUUGGUUCAGUCCUUCUGGGUGGAAUAAAGCUGAAUACAGACAGAGUUGAAAGUGGUUUCGAUUUGGCUUCGGAUAAAACCUCCAUUACAGCGGUCGCAAUUUUAUAGCCGUAGAGCUGAAGUAAAUAGCUGCACAC